Molecule: RNA transcript, 2288 nt
Organism: Octodon degus (degu)
Lineage: Eukaryota; Metazoa; Chordata; Mammalia; Rodentia; Octodontidae
Gene name: histone-lysine N-methyltransferase EZH2-like
Exons: 1
Source: RefSeq, a predicted model, not a curated record
CAUUGGGACACAGAAGACUGUGGAGCCCUGGCAGUGGUGUGGGCUGGUGCGCUCAAUGAAGAAUAAUCAUGGGCCAGACAGGGAAGAAAUCUGAGAAGGGAGCUGCUUGUUGGCGGAAGCGUGUAAUAUCAGAAUACAUGUGACUGAGAGCGCAAGAGGUUCAGACAGACUGAUGAAAUAAAGAGUAUAUUUAGUUCUAAUUAUCAAAAAUUUUGAAAAGAAUAGAAAUCUUAAAUCAAAAAUGGAAACAAUGAAGGACACAGCCCAUGCACAUCUUGACCGCUGUGAGAUCACUGUGCCAGAUUAGGGAGUGUUCAGUGACAUGACUUGGAUUUUCCAACACAAGUUGUCCUAUUAAAGACCCAGAAUGCAGUUCGCCUGAGUCCCAUAAUGUACUCUUGGUCUCCCCUCCGAAACAAUUUUAUGGUAGAAGAGGAAACUGUUUCACAUAACAUUCCUUACAUGAGGAUGAAGUUCUAGACCAGGGUGGUACUUUCAUUGAGGAACUAAUAAAAAACCAUGAUGGCAAAGUCCAUGGAGAUUGAGAGAGUGAGUUUAUAAACGAUGAAAUUUUUGUGCAGUUGGUGAAUGCUCUGAGUCAGUACAAUGAUGAUGGUGAUGAGGAUGACGGGGACAAGCCCGAGGAUGGAGAAGAAAAGUAAAAGGAGCUGGAGCAUCGCCGGUAUGAUAAAGAAAGCUGACCACCUUGGAAACUUCCUUCUGAUAAAAAUUUUGAAGGCAUUUCCUCAAUGUUUCCAGCUAAGGCACAGCAAAAGAACUAAACGAAAAAUAUAAAGAACUCACCAAGCAGCAGCUCCCAGGUGCAUUUCCUCCCAAAUUACCCCCAACAUGGACGGACCAAACACUAAGUGUGCAGAAGGAGCAGGGCUUACAUUCAUUUCAUACACUUUUCUGUCAGCGAUGUUUUAAAUACGACUGCUUCCUACAUCCUUUUCAUGUAAUACCCAAUAUACACAAUCAGAAAAACACAGAAGCAGCUCUGGGCAAUAAGCCUUGUGGACCACAAUGUUAGCAGCACUUGGAGGGAGUGAAGGAGUUUGCUGCUGCCCUCAAUGCUGAGCAGAUAAAGACCCCACUCAAGCACCCCCAGAGCAGCAGGAAAGGUGGUCUCCCAAACAACAGCAGCAGGCUCAGCACCCCCACCAUCAGCGUGCUGGAGUCCAAGAACACUGACAGUGACAGAGAGGCAGGGACUGAAACGGGGCAAAAGAACAAUGAUAAAGAGGAGGGGGAAAAGAAGGAUGAAACCUCAAACUCCUUCAAAGCAAAUUCUCAGUGUCAAACCCAGUGAAGAUGAAUCCAAAUAUUGAACCUCCUGAGAAUGUGGAGCGGAGCUGAAGCCACAAUGUUUUGCAUCCUCAUCGGCACUUACUGUGAUAAUUUCUGUGCUAUUGCCAGGUUGACUGGGACCAAAACAUGCAGACAGGUGUACGAGUUCAGAGUCAAGGAGUCCAGCAUCAUCGCACCUGCUCCUGCUGAGGAGGCCAACACCACUCCAUGACAAAAGAGGAAACAUAGGCUGUGUGCUGCAUACCGCAGAAAGAUACAGCUGAAAAGGACGGCUCUUCUAACCAUGUUCACAACUAUCAACCCUGUGACCAUCCAUGGCAGUCUUGUGACAAUUCGUGCCCUUGUGUGAUAGCACAGAAUUUUUGUGAAAAGUUUUGUCAGUGUAGUUCAGAGUGUCAGAAGCGCUUUCCCGGAUGCCGCUGCAAAGCACAGUGCAACAGCAAGCAGAGCCCAUGCUACCUAGCAGUCUGCAAGUGUGACCCAGACCUAUGCCUGAUGUGUGGAGCUGCAGACCAUUUGGGACAGCAAAAAUGUGUCCUGCAAGAACUGCAGCACCCAGAGGGUCUCCAAAAGUCAUGCAUUGCUGGCACCAUCAGAUAUAGCAGGCUGAAGGAUUUUAUCAAAGAUCCUGUACAGAAAAAUGAAUUCAUCUUGAGUACUGUGGGGAGAUUAUUUCUCCAGAUGAAGCAGACAGAAGAGGCAAGGUGUAUGAUAAACACAUGUGCAACUUCCUGUUCAAUUUGACCAACAAUUUUGUGGUGAACGCAACCCACAAGGGUAACAAAAUUCGUUUUGCGAAUCACUCCAUUAAUUCGAACUGCUAUUCAAAAGUCAUGAUGGUGAACAGCGACCAAAGGAUCGGCAUCUUUGCCAAGAAGGCCAUCCAGACCGGCAAAGAGAUAUUCUUCAAUUAUAGGUACAGCCCGGCCGAUGCCCUGAAGUACAUGGGCAUCGAGGGGGAGAUGGAAAUCCCCUAA